Molecule: ribosomal RNA, 497 nt
Filed under: uncultured bacterium
Lineage: Bacteria
Description: partial 16S ribosomal RNA
Rfam family: Bacterial small subunit ribosomal RNA
Source: RNAcentral
GAUGAACGCUGGCGGCGUGCCUAAUACAUGCAAGUCGAGCGAACAGAUGAGGAGCUUGCUCCUCUGACGUUAGCGGCGGACGGGUGAGUAACACGUGGAUAACCUACCUAUAAUACUUGGAUAACUUCGGGAAACCGGAGCUAAUACCGGCUCAUAUAUUGAACCGCAUGGUUCAAUAGUGAAUGACGGCUUUCCUGUCACUUAUAGCUGGAUCCGCGCCGCAUUAGCUAGUUGGUAAGGUAACGGCUUACCAAGGCGACGAUGCGUAGCCGACCUGAGAGGGUGAUCGGCCACACUGGAACUGAGACACGGUCCAGACUCCUACGGGAGGCAGCAGUGGGGAAUCUUACGCAAUGGGCGAAAGCCUGACGCAGCAAUGCCGCGUGAGUGAUGAAGGUCUUCGGAUCGUAAAACUCUGUUGUUAGGGAAGAACAAAUGUGUAAGUAAAUAUGCACGUCUUGACGGUACCUAAUCAGAAAGCAACGGCUAACUACGUG